Molecule: long non-coding RNA, 862 nt
Filed under: Macaca mulatta (Rhesus monkey)
Lineage: Eukaryota; Metazoa; Chordata; Mammalia; Primates; Cercopithecidae
Description: lncRNA (ENSMMUG00000040055.2)
Source: RNAcentral
GUCUUCUUCUAGGAGGACUCUCAGCUGAUGUUGGUUUUCUUCAGUCUGCAUAAGCGAUGGACAAGCUGUUACUACCCUUUAGAUUUUGGGUGGUCCGGGAGGACCAUCCCAAGUUCGAGGAAAGUUGGCAAUGGAAAAAGGAGCAUCUGAUAGGAGCAGUCAGUGAAGUUCUUGGAAUAUCAAGGUAUCAAGCUCCUUCAGAAGUUGAUAAGAAGUGGGGUGUGACCUGGACGUAGCCACUGUGGAAAGGAUCCCACUGCCCCGCCUUGGGGACAGUGGCAGGAAUCUGCAUUUGAAUGGAUAAAAACCACAAUUUAAUUUGGAACAAACCUGGAUGGAAGAAACAUACUAAGGAAAAAAAAUGAACAAGAAGUAAGGGGGUGGGGAAAGAAUCAUCCUGUGGAAAAUUUAGUCACAAAUUGGAUUUUCUUUUUUCUGGUACUUUAAUUUGCUCCUUCCAUGCUUUCGUUAUUUGACUUAAAAAAAAGCAAAAACCUUUAACUGGUAAUAAUAUUGCCUACAAGUUAAGUAUUCCCUUUUAACAGUAUCAAUCAUAAUGGCAGCUACACUGUAGCUAUUUUAUUAGCAAAUUAAGUAAUUUCCAAUCAAUCAAAAUGAAUUUCUUUUCCAACAGCUAUUUUAUUAUCUUCGUAUGUUUUCUUUGCAGAGCUUCUAAAAUGUUUUUGCCCCUAAUCAAAGAGAUUAACGUGUAUUUUCUCCUCUCUCUUUCUUUCUCUCCCUCCCCCUUGCUCUAUUACUGAAAAGAAACAUUCUCAAAUGCCUUAACCUUUGGGUCUCAAUAAUGAAUAAAAGGAUAUAUUAUGUAUUAUCAAGAAUAGCCUUUUCUAAAAAUGUAAUGUGG